AUUAAAGUGGCAGAAUUUAAUGCAAGGAAUUUAAGCUUCCUUUAUGGGUAACCCUUUAAUA
This 61-nucleotide transfer RNA is filed under the name Ixodes cornuatus. RNAcentral's name for it is "tRNA-Leu". Lineage: Eukaryota; Metazoa; Arthropoda; Arachnida; Ixodida; Ixodidae. The record is from RNAcentral.